AGUGAAUGAACCAUGUUGUCAGCCACCAGUAGCCGAUGGAACCAAGCUUGGCCAUCCUUGCACUUUUGGAAACCGGGACAGAAAGAAAUGCUUGGCCAGCCCAGUGCGGCCAAGGUUUGGGAACCCACGCAGAUAAGGCAGCAGCGGCCGGCGUUCUUCCAAUCCUCUGGCAUAAUGGAGGGAAUCAUGCAUCGCGGAAAGAGGGCGGCUCUGGCUGGGUGCUUUUGGAUCAGCGCUGCUGCAACUUUCACGGUGGAUGGACGCUGCCGGCUUGCAUCGCCUUUGACCUUGCUGGAUUGCAUCUUAGGCGCACCCUUCGGUGAUCCCGUCACAUCGCGGCUGCCACACGUGGACUAUGGCUACAGCGCAUCAUCGACACGUACCGUGAC
This is a non-coding RNA of Dermacentor albipictus, 389 nucleotides long. NCBI's taxonomy places the organism in Eukaryota, Metazoa, Arthropoda, Arachnida, Ixodida, Ixodidae. The record is from RefSeq and is a predicted model, not a curated record.